AUACGGGGGGUGCAAGCGUUAUUCGGAUUUAUUGGGCGUAAAGAGCGCGUAGGCGGCUUGGUAAGUCAGAUGUGAAAGCCCGGGGCUCAACCCCGGAAGUGCAUUUGAAACUAUCAGGCUUGAGUAUGGGAGAGGGAAGUGGAAUUCCUGGUGUAGAGGUGAAAUUCGUAGAUAUCAGGAGGAACACCGGUGGCGAAGGCGACUUCCUGGACCAAUACUGACGCUGAGGCGCGAAGGCGUGGGGAGCAAACAGGAUUAGAUACCCUAGUAGUCC
Molecule: ribosomal RNA, 274 nt
Filed under: uncultured bacterium
Lineage: Bacteria
Description: partial 16S ribosomal RNA
Rfam family: Bacterial small subunit ribosomal RNA
Source: RNAcentral